AAGCGCGGAGGUGUGGAAAAUGAAAUCAGCGGCGAUGGCGUUCUGGAAAGACUAUUUUGUGGCAACGCACACAGCAAACCGCUCAUGGCUGGCCCGCCUGAGUGUUCAGCAGCGUUUGCAGACUCUGGAUUAUCUUAUGCAGUGGGAGCUGAAUGGCACUGAGGCUGCCGUUUCCCCGGCCGUGAAGGACAACGGGGAGCCCGCGGGAAGUUUGUGUUACUGAGUAUUGGUGAAUAUCACCCGCCAGCAGUAAGUUACUGCUGGCUUUUUUU
RNAcentral lists this small RNA (272 nucleotides) under Shimwellia blattae DSM 4481 = NBRC 105725. RNAcentral describes it as "Escherichia blattae DSM 4481 SgrS RNA". It matches the Rfam family "SgrS RNA". Rfam says of the family: In sugar transport-related sRNA (SgrS) is induced under conditions of glucose phosphate stress in E.coli. This small RNA acts to negatively regulate the translation and stability of the ptsG mRNA, which encodes the major glucose transporter in E. coli. The record is from Rfam by way of RNAcentral. Lineage: Bacteria; Pseudomonadati; Pseudomonadota; Gammaproteobacteria; Enterobacterales; Enterobacteriaceae.